RNAcentral lists this ribosomal RNA (466 nucleotides) under uncultured Bacteroidota bacterium. RNAcentral's name for it is "bacterial SSU rRNA". It matches the Rfam family "Bacterial small subunit ribosomal RNA", at positions 355 to 819 of the family's 1533-position model. Lineage: Bacteria; Pseudomonadati; Bacteroidota. The record is from RNAcentral.
UAGGGAAUAUUGGUCAAUGGAUGGAAGUCUGAACCAGCCAUGCCGCGUGCAGGAAGAAGGCCUUCUGGGUUGUAAACUGCUUUUGCCAGGGGAUAAAAAUUCCAUGCGUGGAAGAUUGAAGGUACCUGGUGAAUAAGCCACGGCUAACUACGUGCCAGCAGCCGCGGUAAUACGUAGGUGGCAAGCGUUGUCCGGAUUUAUUGGGUUUAAAGGGUGCGUAGGCGGCUUUGUAAGUCAGUGGUGAAAUAUCGCAGCUUAACUGUGAGGGUGCCAUUGAUACUGCAGAGCUUGAGUACAGAUGAGGUAGGCGGAAUUGACGGUGUAGCGGUGAAAUGCUUAGAUAUCGUCAAGAACACCUAUAGCGAAGGCAGCUUACUAGGCUGUAACUGACGCUGAGGCACGAAAGUGUGGGGAUCAAACAGGAUUAGAUACCCUGGUAGUCCACACUGUAAACGUUGAUUACUCG